Molecule: ribosomal RNA, 292 nt
Filed under: uncultured eukaryote
Lineage: Eukaryota
Description: partial 18S ribosomal RNA
Rfam family: Eukaryotic small subunit ribosomal RNA
Source: RNAcentral
GGUUGAUCCUGCCAGUAGUCAUAUGCUUGUGUUAAAGAUUAAGCCAUGCAUGCCUUAGUAUAGGUGGAUAAAUAACCGAGACUGCGGAUGGCUCAAUAAAUCAGUCAUAAUUAGUUUGGUGAAGCGAGGAAAGAGAAGGAUAACCCUGUUAAUUGUAGAGCUAAUACAAGAAGAAGAUAUUUCUGUUUAACAGAACGGGAAUAGCGUUUAUCAGCUCGAUCUUUGCGGCGUGAGCCGUGGAGAAGGGAAAAGUAACUAACGAAGAGUUUACUGCCAGGAACCACUGCAAUAA